GUUUUGGACCAUUGUUUAUUCAUUAUAUUAGACCAAAAUUAAUAAAAACUAAAACAGUUCUCUAUUCACUUCAGUCAUUUUAAUAGGAAAACCAUUCUCUAUUCACUUUAGCCAUUUUAAUAAAAUACAUCAUUAAAACCGUUCUCUAUUCUUAUUCUUAGUCAUUUGAAUAAAUAAAAAAAGUAGAGAAUGAAACUAUUCUCAUUGUAUUCUUUCUAUGGAAACCCUUGAUAUCCAAACGAAGUAGAAUCGAAGAAAUAGCAGAGAGACCGCUGAAAGAGAAACCAACUUCUUCUUCUCUCUUCGCUCCAACUUUUCAUUUCUCCACUCAGUUUUGUUUACAAUUUAAUUUUGGUAUUCUAAACAGAGUAAUGGGUACAAAGUUUAGGUGAUUGAGUUGCUUUGAAUCCUUCUUUAAAGGUGUGCAAUAGUGUUUUCAGCAUAAAAUCUUUUGGAUUAAACAAGAUGUUGGUUGCUUAGCUGAAGAAAAUACAGGAUAUGAGAAUUCUUCCAGAAGUGAGCCAAAGCGUAGUGAUCAAUGGUUUAUGGAUACAGGUAGCCAAAAAUGUUUUGCAACAAGAAGCAAGUAGUUGAAGCUGUUAGUGACAGACCAAGAUUUCACUUGUCACGGGGUUGUUGAGGCAUGCCACUCUCUUGGUGUUAUUCAUAGAGAUCUCAGGCCUGAGAAUUUCUAUGUAGAAGAUGUAAUUUUGUUAAAUCCUAGUAGAGUGCUCUGUAUAGUGUUGCUUGUUACUUUCAAGAACAUAAGUCUGUAUUUUGGUUC
Molecule: non-coding RNA, 784 nt
Organism: Lupinus albus (white lupine)
Lineage: Eukaryota; Viridiplantae; Streptophyta; Magnoliopsida; Fabales; Fabaceae
Source: the annotation of a GenBank genome assembly